RNAcentral lists this ribosomal RNA (381 nucleotides) under Narnia femorata (cactus bug). RNAcentral describes it as "partial large subunit ribosomal RNA". It matches the Rfam family "Eukaryotic large subunit ribosomal RNA", at positions 2339 to 2589 of the family's 3401-position model. Lineage: Eukaryota; Metazoa; Arthropoda; Insecta; Hemiptera; Coreidae. The record is from RNAcentral.
CUGUCCCUACCUACUAUCUAGCGAAACCACGGCCAAGGGAACGGGCUUGGAAGAAUCAGCGGGGAAAGAAGACCCUGUUGAGCUUGACUCUAGUCUGGUACUGUAAGGAGACAUGAGAGGUGUAGCAUAAGUGGGAGGCGGCUCGCCGUCGACAGUGAAAUACCACUACUUUCAUAGUUUCCUUACUUACUCGGUGAGGCGGAAGGCGUCCGUCGGAGUGUCUGCACUCCGGCGCGACGGUAUUCUCGCACCAAGCGCAAAGGGUUGUCGGCGGCCGGUCGGUCGUGGGGAGGCCCGCGGUGGUCCGCUUCGGCGGUUCUGCCGUGCGUGUCGUCACUGCGCUCUUGGUCGCGCCGUCCGGCAACACACUCCCUAGCGUGA